UGGGGAAUAUUGCACAAUGGGCGCAAGCCUGAUGCAGCCAUGCCGCGUGUAUGAAGAAGGCCUUCGGGUUGUAAAGUACUUUCAGCGGGGAGGAAGGGAGUAAAGUUAAUACCUUUGCUCAUUGACGUUACCCGCAGAAGAAGCACCGGCUAACUCCGUGCCAGCAGCCGCGGUAAUACGGAGGGUGCAAGCGUUAAUCGGAAUUACUGGGCGUAAAGCGCACGCAGGCGGUUGAUUGAGUCAGAUGUGAAAUCCCCGGGCUUAUCCCGGGAAUUGCAUCUGAUACUGGUCAGCUAGAGUCUUGUAGAGGGGGGUAGAAUUCCAUGUGUAGCGGUGAAAUGCGUAGAGAUGUGGAGGAAUACCGGUGGCGAAGGCGGCCCCCUGGACAAAGACUGACGCUCAGGUGCGAAAGCGUGGGGAGCAAACAGG
This 429-nucleotide ribosomal RNA is filed under the name Chloroflexota bacterium. Its description in RNAcentral is "Chloroflexi bacterium partial 16S ribosomal RNA". It matches the Rfam family "Bacterial small subunit ribosomal RNA", at positions 355 to 776 of the family's 1533-position model. The record is from RNAcentral. Lineage: Bacteria; Bacillati; Chloroflexota.